GAUGAAGAACGAAGCGAAAUGCGAUAAGUAGUGUGAAUUGCAGAAUUCAGUGAAUCAUCGAAUCUUUGAACGCACAUUGCGCCCUUUGGUAUUCCAAAGGGCAUGCCUGUUCGAGCGUCAUUUGUACCCUCAAGCUUUGCUUGGUGUUGGGCGUCUUGUCUCUAGCUUUGCUGGAGACUCGCCUUAAAGUAAUUGGCAGCCGGCCUACUGGUUUCGGAGCGCAGCACAAGUCGCACUCUCUAUCAGCAAAGGUCUAGCAUCCAUUAAGCCUUUUUUUCAACUUUUGACCUCGGAUCAGGUAGGGAUACCCGCUGAACUUAAGCAUAUCAAUAAGCGGAGGA
This 341-nucleotide unclassified non-coding RNA is filed under the name soil metagenome. RNAcentral's name for it is "partial contains 5.8S ribosomal RNA, internal transcribed spacer 2, and large subunit ribosomal RNA". The stretch from base 1 to 120 matches the Rfam family "5.8S ribosomal RNA", at positions 35 to 154 of the family's 154-position model. The record is from RNAcentral.